CCCCUGACAUGCGCGCCUUUUGAUGCACUCUCGACUGAAGAGAUUUGAUGGAAAAGAUAAGGUCAUUGGUCACUGUCUGUCCCUGAGUUUCAACAAACAAGUGUUUUCCCUGCGUUCCAAAGGAUCUCAUAUAAAGCCUACCCUUCUCUAGUCGCCAACCAAUGGCACUGAGAUCACAGCGGAACAGUUAUGACUGACAUGGUCUCCUCUUGUCUUUGAUGAUGAUGAAGGAUGUUUUUGUGAAUGCAUCUGCACAGUUGCAUCAGAAGUACUGAAAAUACAUUUAGCCUUACACGGUAAAUACAAUGUUUCACUAAAAGGCUAAAAAUGUUUGUCUUUGCUCGUUUGGAAGUUUAAAUAUGUUCCACAAUGAAUCGAGAAACUUAAAGAAAGAUCAGAUUGGAUGCUUAGACAUUAAGUCAAAUUCAAUUAUUUUGUGUAUUCAUUCUUUUUUAACACAGAUGGCCAGAAGCCGUUAAAUAAUUCCCACAAAACAUUAUACAUUAAGGACUGAAGUGGUCAUUUGCAUUGUAUUAUUAUAUAUUAUGUCUCUUUUACAGUCAAGGGUGAGGAGUGGUGUUGGGUAAAACUGGGUAGCAUUAUGUUUUAAAACUGCUAUUACAGUAUGUGUGUAAUGUCAAACAAGUAAGUAAAUCUAAUCCCAUGUGCUGAGAAAUAGACAAAAGUUGUAUCUGCUGCUGUACAUUAUUUAUUUUUGAAUAA
Colossoma macropomum (tambaqui) is the source of this 723-nucleotide long non-coding RNA. RefSeq lists it as uncharacterized. The record is from RefSeq and is a predicted model, not a curated record. The transcript is spliced from 3 exons. NCBI's taxonomy places the organism in Eukaryota, Metazoa, Chordata, Actinopteri, Characiformes, Serrasalmidae.